Molecule: ribosomal RNA, 440 nt
Filed under: uncultured bacterium
Lineage: Bacteria
Description: partial 16S ribosomal RNA
Rfam family: Bacterial small subunit ribosomal RNA
Source: RNAcentral
CCUACGGGUGGCAGCAGUGGGGAAUAUUGCACAAUGGGGGGAACCCUGAUGCAGCAACGCCGCGUGGGUGAAGAAGUACUCCGGUAUGUAAAGCCCUGUCAGCAGGGAAGAAAAUGACGGUACCUGACCAAGAAGCCCCGGCUAACUACGUGCCAGCAGCCGCGGUAAUACGUAGGGGGCAAGCGUUAUCCGGAUUUACUGGGUGUAAAGGGAGCGUAGACGGCAAGGCAAGUCUGGAGUGAAAGCCCGGGGCCCAACCACGGGACUGCUUUGGAAACUGUGUUGCUGGAGUGCAGGAGGGGUAAGCGGAAUUCCUGGUGUAGCGGUGAAAUGCGUAGAUAUUAGGAGGAACACCGGUGGCGAAGGCGGCUUACUGGACUGUAACUGACGUUGAGGCUCGAAGGCGUGGGGAGCAAACAGGAUUAGAUACCCCAGUAGUC